RNAcentral lists this ribosomal RNA (208 nucleotides) under uncultured bacterium. RNAcentral's name for it is "partial 16S ribosomal RNA". It matches the Rfam family "Bacterial small subunit ribosomal RNA", at positions 568 to 774 of the family's 1533-position model. The record is from RNAcentral.
CACGCAGGCGGUUUUUUAAGUCAGAUGUGAAAGGUACCGGCUCAACCGGUGACAUGCAUUUGAAACUGAAAGACUUGAGUAUUGGAGAGGCAAGUGGAAUUCCUAGUGUAGCGGUGAAAUGCGUAGAUAUUAGGAGGAACACCGGUGGCGAAGGCGGCGUUGCUGGACAAAUACUGACGCUGAGGUGCGAAAGCGUGGGGAGCAAACA